GAUAACUGGUUCAGGGGGAGGAUAGAUAUCAGAGAAAGAUGCUCCACUUCCAAGCAGCCCUGCUGAUGGCCCUGAUCCUGGGCACAGCUCUUCCAGUCACUCAAGCAGGCCCCUAUGGAGUAAACAUGGAAAACACUAUUUGCUGCAAGAACUUCGUUGGAUUUCCUAUACCUUUGAAGUUCCUGAAUUAUUUCUACUUCACCUCUAAAACCUGUCAGAAACCUGGAGUGAUCCUGGUAACAAAAAGAAAUCUUAAGAUUUGUGCAGACUCUCAGAAGCCCUGGGUAGAACAUGCCAUCAAGACUAUCAAAAAGAAAAAAACAUGAGGAUUCCAGCUCUGCUAUGAAAGUACCAAAGACCUCUUUUUCCAGAUAUUGUUCCUAGAUGCCGCCUCCUUGAUCUCCAUCCUAUAUGGAAGAAUCAGUAUAGUUGCUGUGUACAGGGUUGGGCCAUGCCCAGAAGAAAUAGGCUAAGAUCAACCAGUGUGACCUCUGUUUUAAAGUCCGGCAAUUAUAUCUGCCAUUUCCAUUUCCCAUUCCUCUUUCUCUCUUUUUUACUCCACUUCCUCGGGUCUUCCCCUAAUCUGGAGGUCCAGUGUCCCUAUAACUGCUAUCCUUUUCCCCCUACAAGCCACCUCCAGUCCUGCUUUCUCCUCCAAUGUCCUGUGGCAAAGAUCCUUAAUUUUUGUCAUGGAAUUCAUCUCAGAAUAGUGGCUUAAAAUGCAUAAAAUAAAAUACAUAGGAUUACAAAGGAAACCAAUUAUAUUGAAAGAAUUAUCCAAAAAAAAUUUUUUUUAAUUCUCAAACCCUUAUAGUAUAAAAUGAUUCCUUCCUUCCUCUCCAAAAACAUUUCCUCGGUUAGUUAAGGCCUGUAACAAAUGAUCCAAUAAUUAAAGCAUGAGUGUGAAUUACUUAAAAAUGGCUUUAUAUGUUUACAGUACUAUCAUCUCACCCCUCCUGUCACUUCCAGCCAAUUGCAUUUUAAAAGAGGACACAACUAACCCAAAGAAGAAAAUCUCUAAUGACCAAUUUAUUUUAAGCACCUUAGACACCUGAAUGGAAGAGAAUUUCAUUUUCUCAGGAUGAGAGUAGGGUUUGACUGGGAACUUUUGGGUCCCAGGGUACAAAUCCUAGUACCUUCUGAGAGGUUCCUAGGAAUCCUCCUAUUACUGAAGAGAGAAUUAAGAGAAAUCUCCAGGUUCCUCUAGGACAUGAUGGUCAGAAAGGGAAACUAGAUUUGCUGCCCAAUCCUUGAAAGAGGACCAGUACUGAGAUCCUGACUGCACUCUGAAAAUAACUAAUAGAAUUAUUCAGAAGGGAGAGAUCUCUUUUCAUAGCUUUAUAGGAUUUAGAUCUGAAAAAACUUUGGAGAUUAUUCAGUCCAUUUUAUAGGUGAGGAUAUUGAUUUCUAGAGAAGUGAAGUGAUUUUCCCAACAUCAUAGAAGUGAAGGGGUUAGCCACCAAAUGAUGGGGUGUAGGGUGCAGAAGCAUUGACUCCCCCAAAUAUAUCGGGGUUUCAGGUCUCCCCAUGCAACCAUCAAAUGUUAGGUAGAGGAGGUUUUGGAUCCCAAAAAAUAUUUUGGUAUUUCAGGCUAUUGUCUCGAGAUAUCUCAAAAGAAUAUGUAGGUUUAGACUAUUUGCAAAUCAAAAGGCAAAGAUUUUAUUGUUGUCAUUGUUUAGCAUGCUAAGUUCCAAAAAGGAGUUAACCAUUAACAGAGAGGGAAACUCCAGAGCUAAGUUCCCUAGCAGAACUCACAAUUAAUCAGGAGCAAGAUACCUAAGGCAGGUGAAUUUGCUGCCAUAAGAUGGACAUUUCCUAAUGAACCUGUAAAGAAUUGUGGGAUUACUCCAUUGACUGGCAGGCUAAUAAGUUAGCUAUAACUAGGAAAAAGACAUUGGGGGGGGGGGGGGGGGAGAAGGCAGUCUCCUAAUGAACCUACCAUGCCAUAAGGUGGGCUAGAUUCCUAACUAAGGAGUUUAGCAGGGAGUCAGGCAGCAAAUCUAAUUUCCCUUUCUGGCCAUCAUGAGAUUUCUCUUAAUCGCUCUCUUCAGUCACAGGAUCCCCAGGAACCUCUUGGAAGAAAAAUAACCUCUCUGGGUGACAUUAUAACUUGGCUUUCUGUUUAUACAGCACCUGCGGAGUUAGGAUGCUUUUGUCAAGGCAAAGAACUCUAGGAGAGGAAUUCGGCCUAGACUUGCCGCAAUAAAGGCCAACUUAGUAUAACAAAAGGCCUAAUCAAAAUCUAAAGGUUCAUUUAAAGAGAUAAUUACUUCAGCGUUCCUCUCUGCUGGUUUCUCGAUUGUUUACAGUAAUUCAUGCUCUGUUAACAGCCAGCUAGUGACCAGGGACCUAAUGCAGAAGCAGGGCCUCAAACCCAGGCCCUCUGAGUCUGCGCUUUGCGCCAAGGGUGAGCGGGGAUGUCAUACCCUGGCAAUUCUUGCGCGGGUGCUUGUGGAUCCCACAGGCCCCGACCUACCUUCCUCCUCCCUCCGAGACUACCUUCUGUAGGUCAAAAACCCUGCAGCUGGGCUCGGGAGACCUCCAAUGCUCCUAGCUAUGUGGCCAGGAGCAAAGUCCGUUGUCCCUCCAAAUCUCACAUUUCCUCAGCUAUGGAAGUGGGGAUAAGGAAGCUGGCACUCCCAUCCCCAAGCUUUUUUUUUUUUUUUUUUGGAAAGCUUAUCCCUCCUCCCUUAAAUGGUUUCCCCUUCCUCCCACACCCACCUUUUGAAAUCCAUCCCCUCUUUAGGACCUAAUUCAGCUUCCAUUUCCUUCAUGAGACAUUGGAUCUCCCCAGCAAAAAGAUUCUUUUUUUUUGAAUCUCCCAUACCUUUCUUGACUGACCUAAUAAUGCAUUUAUAAUGUUAUAAUUCAUAUUAGAAUGUCCGUGUUUUUGUCUUCUCACCUUGUUUCCCUUCCCUAAUCCCACCGUUCCAGACCCAAUUGUACACUCCCCACGGAGAUGGAGUAAAAAGUUUAUGGAUACUUUAUGUUCCUUACUUGUAUUCUGUGAAUUGUGUUUUAGGGAAAAGUGGGUAAAUUAGAAUCACAGAAUUUCUGGCCUGGAAGAGAUUUCAAAGAUCAUCUAAUACAACUGCUUCAUUUUCUAUAUGA
Molecule: long non-coding RNA, 3111 nt
Organism: Sarcophilus harrisii (Tasmanian devil)
Lineage: Eukaryota; Metazoa; Chordata; Mammalia; Dasyuromorphia; Dasyuridae
Source: Ensembl